CGAUCCCCUCGAAGUGAUCAAGGAGGGUCGAUCCCCUCGAAGUGAUCAAGGAGGGCCGAUCCCCUCGAAGCGAUCAAGGAGGCCGAUCCCCUCGAAGUGAUCAUUAUCAUCCCCAUUUCUCCCCUUUCUUCCACGAUAAGAUUUUAGGGUCUUAUCAUUUGGUAUCAGAGCCACGAUAAGACCUUUAGGGUCUUACCAUUUGGUAUCAGAGCGGCGAUCCUCGGCGUUCUCGCUGUAGUUCGU
Molecule: long non-coding RNA, 243 nt
Filed under: Musa acuminata (dwarf banana)
Lineage: Eukaryota; Viridiplantae; Streptophyta; Magnoliopsida; Zingiberales; Musaceae
Description: long non-coding RNA (MACU_LNC007143)
Source: RNAcentral